ACGGGAGGCAGCAGUGGGGAAUAUUGGACAAUGGGGGAAACCCUGAUCCAGCGACGCCGCGUGAGUGAAGAAGUAUUUCGGUAUGUAAAGCUCUAUCAGCAAGGAAGAAAAUGACGGUACUUGACUAAGAAGCUCCGGCUAAAUACGUGCCAGCAGCCGCGGUAAUACGUAUGGAGCAAGCGUUAUCCGGAUUUACUGGGUGUAAAGGGAGCGUAGACGGCGAAGCAAGUCUGAAGUGAAAUGCCGGGGCUUAACCCCGGAACUGCUUUGGAAACUGUUUUGCUAGAGUGCAGGAGAGGUAAGCGGAAUUCCUAGUGUAGCGGUGAAAUGCGUAGAUAUUAGGAGGAACACCAGUGGCGAAGGCGGCUUGCUGGACUGUAACUGACACUGAGGCUCGAAAGCGUGGGGAGCAAACAGGAUUAGAUACCCUGGUA
This 434-nucleotide ribosomal RNA is filed under the name uncultured Lachnospiraceae bacterium. RNAcentral's name for it is "bacterial SSU rRNA". It matches the Rfam family "Bacterial small subunit ribosomal RNA", at positions 341 to 792 of the family's 1533-position model. The record is from RNAcentral. Lineage: Bacteria; Bacillati; Bacillota; Clostridia; Lachnospirales; Lachnospiraceae.